RNAcentral lists this transfer RNA (68 nucleotides) under Marmota monax (woodchuck). RNAcentral's name for it is "tRNA.Ser". Lineage: Eukaryota; Metazoa; Chordata; Mammalia; Rodentia; Sciuridae. The record is from RNAcentral.
GGAUUGUGGCUCAGUGGCAGAGCACUCGCCUGGAACACAUGAGGCACUGGGUUCAGUCCUCAGCACCA